ACGGGUGAGUAAUACAUCGGAACGUGCCCGAGAGUGGGGGAUAACGAAGCGAAAGCUUUGCUAAUACCGCAUACGAUCUCAGGAUGAAAGCAGGGGACCGCAAGGCCUUGCGCUCACGGAGCGGCCGAUGGCAGAUUAGGUAGUUGGUGGGAUAAAGGCUUACCAAGCCGACGAUCUGUAGCUGGUCUGAGAGGACGACCAGCCACACUGAGACUGAGACACGGCCCAGACUCCUACGGGAGGCAGCAGUGGGGAAUUUUGGACAAUGGGCGCAAGCCUGAUCCAGCCAUGCCGCGUGCAGGAUGAAGGCCUUCGGGUUGUAAACUGCUUUUGUACGGAACGAAAAGACUCCUUCUAAUAAAGGGGGUCCAUGACGGUACCGUAAGAAUAAGCACCGGCUAACUACGUGCCAGCAGCCGCGGUAAUACGUAGGGUGCGAGCGUUAAUCGGAAUUACUGGGCGUAAAGCGUGCGCAGGCGGUGAUGUAAGACAGAUGUGAAAUCCCCGGGCUCAACCUGGGAACUGCAUUUGUGACUGCAUCGCUGGAGUGCGGCAGAGGGGGAUGGAAUUCCGCGUGUAGCAGUGA
Molecule: ribosomal RNA, 586 nt
Filed under: uncultured bacterium
Lineage: Bacteria
Description: bacterial SSU rRNA
Rfam family: Bacterial small subunit ribosomal RNA
Source: RNAcentral